This 260-nucleotide ribosomal RNA is filed under the name uncultured archaeon. Its description in RNAcentral is "partial 16S ribosomal RNA". It matches the Rfam family "Archaeal small subunit ribosomal RNA", at positions 748 to 1008 of the family's 1478-position model. The record is from RNAcentral.
AGGGUGUAAACGCUGCAGACUUGGUGUUGGAGGCCCUUUGGGGGCAUUCAGUGCCGGAGAGAAGUUGUUAAGUCUGCUACUUGGGGAGUACGUCCGCAAGGAUGAAACUUAAAGGAAUUGGCGGGGGAGCGCCGCAACGGGAGGAGCGUGCGGUUUAAUUGGAUUCAACACCGUAAACUCACCAGGGAAGACUGUUACAUGAAGGCCGAGAUGAAGACUCUGCUAGAUUUUCAGAGAGGUGGUGCAUGGCGUCAGUGACU